Molecule: non-coding RNA, 118 nt
Organism: Camelina sativa (false flax)
Lineage: Eukaryota; Viridiplantae; Streptophyta; Magnoliopsida; Brassicales; Brassicaceae
Source: RefSeq, a predicted model, not a curated record
CUUCUGAGGGAAGAAGUGUUGAACAGAAAGUCUUGGAGUCGAAUCCUGUUUUAGAAGCAUUUGGAAAUGCAAAGACUGUCAGGAACAAUAAUUCCAGUCGUUUUGGUAAGUUCGUGGA